CCUACGGGAGGCAGCAGUGGGGAAUAUUGGGCAAUGGGCGCAAGCCUGACCCAGCAACGCCGCGUGAAUGAAGAAGGCCUUCGGGUUGUAAACUUCUUUUAUGAGGGAAGAGCAUAAGACUGUACCUCUUUACUCAUCCACGGCUCACUACGUGCCAGCAGCCGCGGUAAUACGUAGGUGGCAAGCGUUGUCCGGAUUUACUGGGUGUAAAGGGCGUGCAGCCGGGAAGACAAGUCAGAUGUGAAAUCCCGCGGCUCAACCGCGGAAAUGCAUUUGAAACUGUUUUUCUUGAGUACAGGAGAGGUCAGCGGAAUUCCUUGUGUAGCGGUGAAAUGCGUAGAGAUAAGGAAGAACACCAGUGGCGAAGGCGGAUGACUGGACGGCAACUGACGGUGAGGCGCGAAAGCGUGGGGAGCAAACAGGAUUAGAUACCCGAGUAGUC
This 442-nucleotide ribosomal RNA is filed under the name uncultured bacterium. RNAcentral describes it as "partial 16S ribosomal RNA". It matches the Rfam family "Bacterial small subunit ribosomal RNA", at positions 338 to 795 of the family's 1533-position model. The record is from RNAcentral.